RNAcentral lists this ribosomal RNA (752 nucleotides) under uncultured Actinomyces sp. Its description in RNAcentral is "bacterial SSU rRNA". It matches the Rfam family "Bacterial small subunit ribosomal RNA", at positions 28 to 776 of the family's 1533-position model. Lineage: Bacteria; Bacillati; Actinomycetota; Actinomycetes; Actinomycetales; Actinomycetaceae. The record is from RNAcentral.
GACGAACGCUGGCGGCGUGCUUAACACAUGCAAGUCGAACGCUGAAGGCCCAGCUUGCUGGGUUGAAUGAGUGGCGAACGGGUGAGUAACACGUGAGUAACCUGCCCUCUUCUUUGGGAUAACGGUCGGAAACGGCUGCUAAUACCGGGUAUUCACUGUCCUUCGCAUGGGGGGUGGUGGAAAGGUUUUUUCUGGUGGGGGAUGGGCUCGCGGCCUAUCAGCUUGUUGGUGGGGUGAUGGCUUACCAAGGCUUUGACGGGUAACCGGCCUGAGAGGGUGACCGGUCACAUUGGGACUGAGAUACGGCCCAGACUCCUACGGGAGGCAGCAGUGGGGAAUAUUGCACAAUGGGCGAAAGCCUGAUGCAGCGACGCCGCGUGAGGGAUGGAGGCCUUCGGGUUGUAAACCUCUUUCGCUCAUGGUCAAGCCGCAACUGUGGUUGUGGUGAGGGUAGUGGGUAAAGAAGCACCGGCUAACUACGUGCCAGCAGCCGCGGUAAUACGUAGGGUGCGAGCGUUGUCCGGAAUUAUUGGGCGUAAAGGGCUUGUAGGCGGUUUGUCGCGUCUGCCGUGAAAUCCUCUGGCUUAACUGGGGGCGUGCGGUGGGUACGGGCAGGCUUGAGUGCGGUAGGGGAGACUGGAACUCCUGGUGUAGCGGUGGAAUGCGCAGAUAUCAGGAAGAACACCGGUGGCGAAGGCGGGUCUCUGGGCCGUUACUGACGCUGAGGAGCGAAAGCGUGGGGAGCGAACAGG